GUCAAUGUAGCUUAUUUUUAAAAGCGCGGCACUGAAGAAGCCGAGAUGAGAAACAUGAAAAUCUCCACAGACA
Molecule: transfer RNA, 73 nt
Filed under: Meroles squamulosus
Lineage: Eukaryota; Metazoa; Chordata; Lepidosauria; Squamata; Lacertidae
Description: tRNA-Phe
Rfam family: tRNA
About the family: Transfer RNA (tRNA) molecules are approximately 80 nucleotides in length. Their secondary structure includes four short double-helical elements and three loops (D, anti-codon, and T loops).
Source: RNAcentral